This 925-nucleotide ribosomal RNA is filed under the name uncultured marine bacterium. RNAcentral describes it as "bacterial SSU rRNA". It matches the Rfam family "Bacterial small subunit ribosomal RNA", at positions 61 to 1015 of the family's 1533-position model. The record is from RNAcentral.
GUCGAACGAGAAACGGGCUUCGGCCCGUGGACAGUGGCGAAAGGGUGAGUAACGCGUUCCUUACGUACCCCGAGGUGGAGGAUAGGUCGGAGAAAUUCGGCGUAAUACUCCAUAUCUUCUCCGGAAGAAAGGUUUCGGCCGCCUCGGGAGCGGGGAGCGUCCCAUCAGGUUGUUGGUGAGGUAAAGGCUCACCAAGCCAAAGACGGGUAGCGGGUGUGAGAGCAUGGCCCGCCACAUCGGGACUGAGACACUGCCCGGACUCCUACGGGAGGCUGCAGCGACGAAUAUUCCGCAAUGCGCGAAAGCGUGACGGAGCAAUGCCGCGUGCAGGAUGAAGCGGCUUCGCCGUGUAAACUGCUGUCAGGGUGCAGGAAUACUGACCAUACCCAAAGGAAGGACCGGCUAACCUCGUGCCAGCAGCCGCGGUAAUACGAGGGGUCCAAGCGUUAAUCGGAAUCACUGGGCUUAAAGGGUACGUAGGCGGCCCUGUAAGCAUCUCGUGAAAUCCCACGGCUCAACCGUGGAAUUGCGGAGUGAACUGCAGGGCUUGAGGCAGGUAGAGGUCGUCGGAACGAUCGGUGGAGCGGUGAAAUGCGUUGAUAUCGAUCGGAACGCCGAUGGGGAAGUCAGGCGACUGGGCCUGUCCUGACGCUGAGGUACGAAAGCGUGGGUAGCGAACGGGAUUAGAUACCCCGGUAGUCCACGCCCUAAACGAUGUGCACUAGAUCGAGGCGGCUCUGACGUCGUCUCGGCCGAAGCGAAAGCGUUAAGUGCACCGCCUGGGGAGUACGGUCGCAAGGCUAAAACUCAAAGGAAUUGACGGGGGCUCACACAAGCGGUGGAGCAUGUGGCUUAAUUCGAAGCAACGCGAAGAACCUUAUCCUGGGCUUGACAUGUAUGGAUUAGCUCUGUGAAAGCAGAGUGA